AAGAAGGAAGCCAAAGCUAACAACAUUUUGAACAUAUUUUUGCAUGUCAAUUUCAUUUGCACAAGAAACAAACAUCCCACAUGCUGGGAAAUCAUUCUUUUCCUGUAGAUAUUAGACUGUCAGGAAGAUUUUCAGAUCACUAGUUUAUCAAGUGAAGAGCUUGAAUCCGCCGCUGAGAAACAUACAAGUAUAAGAAAGCAACCCAUA
This 207-nucleotide long non-coding RNA is filed under the name Nicotiana benthamiana. RNAcentral's name for it is "long non-coding RNA (NBEN_LNC009291)". Lineage: Eukaryota; Viridiplantae; Streptophyta; Magnoliopsida; Solanales; Solanaceae. The record is from RNAcentral.